This 517-nucleotide ribosomal RNA is filed under the name uncultured bacterium. RNAcentral describes it as "partial 16S ribosomal RNA". The record is from RNAcentral.
ACCAGACGAUGCGGUUACCGCGGCUGCUGGCACGGAGUUAGCCGGUGCUUCUUCUGUGAGUGAUGUCCUUCCUGCCGGUUAUUGACCCGCAGGCCUUCUUCCUCACUGAAAGUGCUUUACAACCCGAAGGCCUUCUUCACACACGCGGCAUGGCUGGAUCAGGGUUGCCCCCAUUGUCCAAUAUUCCCCACUGCUGCCUCCCGUAGGAGUCUGGGCCGUGUCUCAGUCCCAGUGUGGCUGAUCAUCCUCUCAGACCAGCUACGGAUCGUCGCCUUGGUGAGCCGUUACCUCACCAACCAGCUAAUCCGACAUAGGCUCAUCCGAUAGCGCGAGGCCCGAAGGUCCCCCGCUUUCCCCCGUAGGGCGUAUGCGGUAUUAGCCUGGGUUUCCCCAGGUUAUCCCCACUACCGGGCAGAUUCCUAUGCAUUACUCACCCGUCCGCCGCUCGCCACCAGGGAGCAAGCUCCCCGUGCUGCCGCUCGACUUGCAUGUGUUAGGCCUGCCGCCAGCGUUCAAU